RNAcentral lists this long non-coding RNA (480 nucleotides) under Bos grunniens (domestic yak). Its description in RNAcentral is "lncRNA (ENSBGRG00000023512.1)". Lineage: Eukaryota; Metazoa; Chordata; Mammalia; Artiodactyla; Bovidae. The record is from RNAcentral.
AUAUGAUAGUAUUCUGCCUUCAUUCCCCUGAGCCUGAUUAAUUUCCAGUGUUCCUAAAGUGUUCUUUCUUCUUCUUAUCCACCUAGGUGACUUCAGUUUGCUAAGCAGCAGCUUCUCCUGGCAUGAGCCACUGCAGAUCUCCUCAUCAGACGGGCUGAGACUAUCCUGUGUGCCCUGCACUUGGAGUAAGGAGAACACAGCAAGGUUGGUCCAACAGCCUUCCUGGAGUAUGACUCAGAAAAAGAAGGACCACAGCACCACACUGGCAAGAGAGUUUAGAGGAAGAUUGAUGAGGCUGGACCCUUGCUUCAGGUUUGGAGGCAAGUAGACUAAAUACAGAGAUGCCAGACAGCCACUGAGGCCCAUGGACAGUCCUGCACUCACGCUGAUCUGUCGAACUUUAAAAGUUCCUAGUACUAUGCAACCUUUGCCAGACGAAAAGAAACUGAUGCCGAGAAGGCAUACUCUUCAAUACUGGGA